Molecule: long non-coding RNA, 1130 nt
Organism: Lathyrus oleraceus (garden pea)
Lineage: Eukaryota; Viridiplantae; Streptophyta; Magnoliopsida; Fabales; Fabaceae
Exons: 2
Source: RefSeq, a predicted model, not a curated record
AGGAAUGCAAGCGCACAGUAAGCCAAAUGAAGGUACCUACACGGGGGCUUUGGUCAAGAGAGCCGGCCAGCCCAUCCAAGGGCCCAAAGGAUAGCCACGUGUGGGGGAGGGAAAAUAUGAGAUUUUGAUCAAAAAGCGUGAUAGGAGAUCACAGGUUCUCAUUUUCAAGCCUCUUUCUCUAUCUUAUUUCAGUAUCUCUUUCUCUCCUUGCCACCGUGGAAACAACUCACAAACCAAAUUCUCCACCUAUAUGGAUCAAUCACGGUGGCUAUGAUGAACUCAAAAUGAACAAUGUUGAAUGUUCAUCCGGCCCCAACCUAGAUUUCAAUAAACUAAACAAAAUAAAAAACGUUCAACACGAAACCCUCUCAUCUUUUCGCUCUGGUCACUAAUAUGGUCUCAAUUUAACCAAAGCAAACAUAAACACACAGAUAUACCCUUGAUCCCAAACAAACCGUAGGCCCCAAAUUUCAUUAUUUCACCAUGAUUACAACGAAUUUACAUCCAUUGGAAAUGCAAGAAGAUAAUAAUCGUUUAGAACUAACAAGAAAAAGGCAAGGAAAAAUGAAGAAAAAAAGAAGACCCUCGCUGGAAUCUGGAAUUCCGGAGAGGCCUCCGGCAAGCCUUCCAAAUCACCUCAGGGCUUUAGCUCAAGUUUGCAAGGCUUUGAGGGUAGGGAUUAGCAUGAAUUUCAACAGAGAUUUGUUGGGAUUUUUCCUGUUUGUUGAGAGUGAAUAGAGAGGCUGUUUAUAUAGGGGAAUUUUGAUGAAUCAUUGGUCCGUGUGAGUGAAUUGAGAGGGGGAACGUAGUGUGAAUGUGGGGAAUUUUGGAGGAAGUUUGUGUGAUGAAAAACGUGUGUGUGAGCAGGGUGAAUUGGGUGUGAGUGAGAUAUGUAUGUAUGAUAUGGUUUACAAUGGAGGAUAAUGAUGACAUAGAGUAUGGAUGAUGUGCUGAAGCUGUAAAAUGUGUGACCUGCCACCCAAAACUUCAAAUUCUUUUUUUUCACUUUUUAUUUCAAUUAUAAUGUAAUAGGAUGUAUGUAUGUUGUUGGAUGUAUGUAUGUACUUUAAAUUUCAAUUCACAUGUAAUGAAACUCAUUUCAAAUUAAUUCAAAUUAUUUCUUCUUCCUC